CUUUGUCUUUGCUGAGAAUGACAAUGUGCUGGUGAGCUGUCACAUACCAAACACAUCAGGUACCUCCCAUUAAACAACCAAGUGCUGCAAAAAAAGUCCAAAACUGGGGAAAAUAAUCCUUUCCUUGCCUUCCUGUUCUGGUGAAUAGCUUUGAUCCUCUGAUACUAGUAAGUUCUCUGCUUUUGUCUCUUCUAUUGCAUUCUUAUAUAUUCAACUAUGUAUGUACACAGACAUGCACACCCACAUGCUUUAAACCCUAUGGAUUGCCCUAACCGUGUUCCUUUUGUAUUCCAACCCUUCUACAUUUUCAGCCCUGAGAGACUCAGUUGCUUAGCUGAGGCAAUGUCAGAGCCAGCGUUUGCAAGGAGGGGAAGAGGAAGAUGCAGCAUCCCUCACUGGGAAGGAGCAAGGGGCAAGAGAGGAGCAAAAGCCCUUCCAGCAUUCAUGUUAUGUCCAGGAGUGGCACCUAACAAAGACUGCAGUGAUGAGAGAUCAACUCUAAGCUAUUUCAACAGGAAAACAAUAAAAUUCUUCACAGUAAAUGGUCUUUUACUCAUCUUAAAAUGCUUCCUACCAUCACAAAUCCCCUGCAGACAGCAGCAGUGGUCACAGUUCUGCCUUGAAGCACGUUUUAAGCACCUCAGACAAAAGGAGGAGGCUUUGUGUUUAGGUUCUGUGUGCACCAUCUGCUGAGAGAAGACACACAGACUUCCAGAAGGCUGCCAGCUGGCUGGCCAUUCCUCUCAUUUCAAAUAAACAUUCAGCAUGUUUUCAGUAAAUUCUGAAUGAUAGAAGCCUGCUUUUUCCUUUCUGCAGUUCUCACUGGAGAGGGUGAGAGGUUUUUUUUCUCUCAGCCAUGUUAUAUAUUUCCAGCAAGAUGAACUUUCACUUCAGAUUGUUACUAUCUCAUAAAAAUAGCCCACAUGGAUUAAUAUUCAUUAUUAGGGUGUUUUAUUAUGAACUGUAGACAUAAUUAGUUCUUUGAAGCAUACUAAAGAACAAGAUCAUUUAAAGAUCACUUACUGAGCCUAUACCUGAACUAUUCCGAG
RNAcentral lists this long non-coding RNA (1049 nucleotides) under Taeniopygia guttata (zebra finch). RNAcentral's name for it is "lncRNA (ENSTGUG00000025895.1)". The record is from RNAcentral. Lineage: Eukaryota; Metazoa; Chordata; Aves; Passeriformes; Estrildidae.